Molecule: ribosomal RNA, 253 nt
Filed under: uncultured bacterium
Lineage: Bacteria
Description: partial 16S ribosomal RNA
Rfam family: Bacterial small subunit ribosomal RNA
Source: RNAcentral
UACGUAGGGACCAAGCGUUGUUCGGAUUUACUGGGCGUAAAGGGCGCGUAGGCGGCGCGGUAAGUCACUUGUGAAAUCUCUGAGCUUAACUCAGAACGGCCAAGUGAUACUGCAGUGCUAGAGUGUGGAAGGGGCAAUCGGAAUUCUUGGUGUAGCGGUGAAAUGCGUAGAUAUCAAGAGGAACACCGGUGGCGAAGGCGGGUCUCUGGGUCGAUACUGACGCUGAGGAGCGAAAGCGUGGGGAGCGAACAGG